UUUCCGUAGGUGAACCUGCGGAAGGAUCAUUCAUAAUAAAGUGUUUUAUGGCACUUUUUAAAAAUCCAUAUCCACCUUGUGUGCAAUGUUAGAUCUCGUCAAUCUUGGCGAGAUUUUUAUACAUCAACUCAUUCUUUAACUAAUUUGUCUGAAAAAUAUUAUGAAUACUUAAUUCAAAAUACAACUUUCAACAACGGAUCUCUUGGCUCUCGCUUCGAUGAAGACGCAGC
This 230-nucleotide unclassified non-coding RNA is filed under the name plant metagenome. RNAcentral describes it as "partial contains small subunit ribosomal RNA, internal transcribed spacer 1, and 5.8S ribosomal RNA". The stretch from base 183 to 230 matches the Rfam family "5.8S ribosomal RNA", at positions 1 to 49 of the family's 154-position model. The record is from RNAcentral.